UUUAAAAAAAUAACAAGAAUUCAAGAAUUGAGACUGUGUAUGUCAGAUCUUGAAUGAUUCACCGAAAUUCUCCUCUGGUGACUAUGUCUCCUCUUCAACCCAUGGGUAUGCUCAUAAAGGGGGUCAACUAUAUGGGGAAAAGGUUCCUGAUUAUCCUGUUAUAGACAGAAGACAAUAUGGGGAAAGACAAAGUUCAUAUAUGGGAAGGGACUUGCAAAAUGAAUCAACUGGAAGAUAUGCUGAUUCUAUCAGUUUCGCACAUCAGAGUGAGAUUUAUGAUCGGAUUGAUCAGGUAGUUCUGCUUCGGCAAGAACAAUUAUUGAAGUCACAAUCAUUGCAAUCUGCUUCUCUUGAUGGGAAUGCCAGGUGACUAUUUAUUGAAAAGUGUUUAGGUGGGGCUUAAUUUCCUUAGCCGAUUCGUGCCGAUCUUGAAAAGUGUACCAGGAUAUUUGAAAAUAUAAUCCCUCACCAAAAAUUGCUGAUCUCCUCCAUCGAAAAUGAUCUUCUCAAUCACCUCAUCUCUUGAAGUUUCCCCUGUAACGGUGUAGUAUCUUCUCCCAACGGUUUCUUUAUACUCCGACAUCAUCCUCUGCCGAAGCGAUUGGAAAUCGAUCAUCAACUCCUUCAAUUUCUUCCUCAAUCCGCUCGUUACAGCGAUUCUCGUUCGGAGAAGUAUUUUGAAUUUGUACUAAUUGAACUGCCAUGCAAUAACAAAUUCUCACUUCGUAUGAAAAUGAAAACGUUUGUCCCCACAAGAAGAACGAGAGGCAAGGAGUAGUUGAAGAGGAUCAAGCUAAGAGCUUUAAGUUUCCAACGAAGCAACACGAUUUGCCACUCCAAUCCUCUUAAUCCAAAAUUAGAUAUUUAUCUUUGUUUUAUAUCAAUUUAAUUUCUUUUUUGAUCGAACAAUGAAUGUUUGAGAUUUGUUAAUGACAAUGUUGCCUCUAUGCUCUGCAACUCCAACUUGUUCUUCUCAUUCUCAGGUCAGUUCCUUAAAACUUAACUUGUUUAGGUAUUAGUAAAGUUUACACACUUUCUUAGUAAAGUUCUCAACUUUACAAAAUUAAUCUAUGAAAUAUCUUGACACCUGCCAAGAUUGCUUUUCAAAAGGUGAUCAUAGAUUUUAGCACCCUUUUGUUUUUAAUCUUUGUUUUACUUCUUCUACAUGCUGAGUGAACUGUGUUUAUUAAUCAGGUUUAUAUUGCUAUUGAGGGUUUUGAGAAAACUCUUGGCUUUGAUCCAAAUGAUGCAAUCGUUCCAUUUGUUUUGUUGGCUGGUGCCUCUGCCACUUUAUGAUUUGGUGGCAGGGUCUUCUUUUGAGUGUCGACAUACAGCGGUUAUGCGGGAGAUUUGUCUCCUCAAUUGACUUUGGAGGUCCUGACAGGGAAAGAUAAUUCUGUGCUCAUUGAUAUCCGACCCGAG
Molecule: long non-coding RNA, 1422 nt
Organism: Cannabis sativa
Lineage: Eukaryota; Viridiplantae; Streptophyta; Magnoliopsida; Rosales; Cannabaceae
Exons: 5
Source: RefSeq, a predicted model, not a curated record